UAGGGAAUCUUCCACAAUGGACGCAAGUCUGAUGGAGCAACGCCGCGUGAGUGAAGAAGGUUUUCGGACCGUAAAGCUCUGUUGUUGGUGAAGAAGGAUAGAGGUAGUAACUGGCCUUUGUUUGACGGUAAUCAACCAGAAAGUCACGGCUAACUACGUGCCAGCAGCCGCGGUAAUACGUAGGUGGCAAGCGUUGUCCGGAUUUAUUGGGCGUAAAGCGAGCGCAGGCGGAAGGAUAAGUCUGAUGUGAAAGCCCUCGGCUUAACCGAGGAAUUGCAUCGGAAACUGUUUUCUUGAGUGCAGAAGAGGAGAGUAGAACUCCAUGUGUAGCGGUGGAAUGCGUAGAUAUAUGGAAGAAUACCAGUGGCGAAGGCGGCUCUCUGGUCUGCAACUGACGCUGAGGCUCGAAAGCAUGGGUAGCGAACAGGAUUAGAUACCCUGGUAGUCCAUGCCGUAAACGAUGAGUGCUAAGUGUUGGGAGGCUUCCGCCUCUCAGUGCUGCAGCUAACGCAUUAAGCACUCCGCCUGGGGGAGUACGACCGCAAGGUUGAA
RNAcentral lists this ribosomal RNA (552 nucleotides) under uncultured bacterium. RNAcentral's name for it is "partial 16S ribosomal RNA". It matches the Rfam family "Bacterial small subunit ribosomal RNA", at positions 355 to 898 of the family's 1533-position model. The record is from RNAcentral.